UAAUACGUAGGAGGCGAGCGUUAUCCGGAUUUACUGGGCGUAAAGGGGGCGUAGGCGGCUUUUCAAGUUGGAUGUGAAAUCUCCCUGCUUAACGGGGAGGGGUCAUUCAAUACUGUUAAGCUUGAGGGCAGCAGAGGAAGGUGGAAUUCCCGGAGUAGUGGUGAAAUGCGUUGAUAUCGGGAGGAACACCAGUGGCGAAGGCGGCCUUCUGGGCUGUUCCUGACGCUGAGGUCCGAAAGCGCGGGGAGCGAACAGGAUUAGAUACCCUGGUAGUCCGCGCAGUAAACGAUGGACACUGGGUAUAGGGAGUAUCGACCCUCUCUGUGCCGUAGCUAACGCGUUAAGUGUCCCGCCUGGGGAGUACGGCCGCAAGGCUA
RNAcentral lists this ribosomal RNA (377 nucleotides) under uncultured Chloroflexota bacterium. RNAcentral describes it as "bacterial SSU rRNA". It matches the Rfam family "Bacterial small subunit ribosomal RNA", at positions 521 to 896 of the family's 1533-position model. Lineage: Bacteria; Bacillati; Chloroflexota. The record is from RNAcentral.